Molecule: ribosomal RNA, 952 nt
Filed under: Aplysina cauliformis (row pore rope sponge)
Lineage: Eukaryota; Metazoa; Porifera; Demospongiae; Verongiida; Aplysinidae
Description: mitochondrial SSU rRNA
Rfam family: Bacterial small subunit ribosomal RNA
Source: RNAcentral
UUGAUAGGCCGGAAUCGUAUUAGGUUGAAGGAGAAAUAAUAACCUCCUUGCCGAAAAUGCGUAGCCGAAAGGCCACACUUUCACUGAAAUAAGGGGAAGACUCAUAAAGAGGCAGCAGUAGAGAAUCUUGUGCAAUAUAUGAAAGUAUGACACAGAGAUAUCGCAUAUAUGGGCUGUCUAAUAUACGUGCCAGCAGAUGCGGUUAUACGUAAGGCCUAAGUUUUUAUUGUAAAACAGGUGUAAAGGGUGUGUAGGUGAUUAAUAAUUUAGAGUUAAAAAAAAGUAGAUAGAACUUUUAUGUAACGGUAGAAUGUUUUAAUAUAAAAUGGAAUACCAAAGGCGAAAGUAGUCUACUAGCUUUAACUGACACUGAGACACGAAAGCAUGGGGAGCUAAUAGGAUUAGAUACCCUAGUCGUCCAUGCUGUAAACGAUGAAUAUUAGAUAUAUAGAAAAUGUGUCUUGAAAAACUUCCAAAUUCCACCUGAAGAGUACGAUUGCAAGAUUAAAAUUCAAAAAAUUUGGCGGUUCACUAUUCCAAUUAGAGGAGCGUGUAGUUUAAUUCGAUGUUACACGAGAAACCUUACCAAAACUCGAACCCUAACCGGAGAAUAAAGAUUAAAAUAAAUCCAAGUUAGGCCAGGUAUUGCAUGGCCGUCGUCAGUUCGUGUUGUGAGAGAAAUAAAACGGACUUAACCCUUUAAUGUAAGUCGGUAUAUUAUUAAUAAUUAAAUUUAAAGGACGACGUCAGGCCCUUAUGAUCUCUAUGUUUUGGGCAGCGUAUGCGCUACAGUGUUUUAGAUAAAGGGGGGGAUAAAAAGGAAAUAAAACUUUAAAAUAUUACUCGAAAAGAAAAUUGAAAUAAUUUCUUGAAGUUGGAUUUAAUAGUAAUCGAAAAGUAGAGCGUUUCGGUGAAUAUGGCCCUAGUGUUCGUACAAAUCGCCCGUCAACUC